This 379-nucleotide unclassified non-coding RNA is filed under the name fungal sp. Its description in RNAcentral is "partial internal transcribed spacer region". The stretch from base 1 to 46 matches the Rfam family "Eukaryotic small subunit ribosomal RNA", at positions 1786 to 1831 of the family's 1831-position model. Lineage: Eukaryota; Fungi. The record is from RNAcentral.
AAGUCGUAACAAGGUUUCCGUAGGUGAACCUGCGGAAGGAUCAUUAACACGUAUCCAACGUUAAACAACCCCGUGAACCUUCAGCCUGCUCUCGUAGCCCACGCGGCAACAGCAAUCCCGGUAAAUCAGUUUUGAUUCGGGACCUCUGUUACGAUGUGAGAAGUUACAGUUACGAUCAGUCAGUGGCAUGGCGUCCCCAAGCAGAAUCCAGAGAAUGAAAGGAUCACUGGCUGCGCAAGGAUAACGCCUCACGGUUGCUAGAGGUCGAUCACCGACCGGCAGACAUGCUUACCUCACCCCAUUACUAAUGACUAGCUUAGCGGUAACGCGCUGAGUAAAAAAAACCGAACAACUGUUAACAAUGGAUAUCUUGGUUCUC